Molecule: unclassified non-coding RNA, 394 nt
Filed under: Hevea brasiliensis (rubber tree)
Lineage: Eukaryota; Viridiplantae; Streptophyta; Magnoliopsida; Malpighiales; Euphorbiaceae
Source: RNAcentral
GCCCAACAUCGGUUUUACGUGGGGGUGACUGAGAUGCACGCAUCUAUUUUCCCAAAAGCAAAUCCCAACUACUGCCCUUUCAUUUUCAGUAAAGUCCUUUUUCCCUCUACUCUCUCUCACUGUAUAAAUUUCUGAGUUAUCAUCCCCUACUUUUGCCCAUUUUCUGAUUUCAGAUUACACAAACCCUUUUUCUCGAAACCAAACAAACUUGCACGGGAACUCUCUCUCCCUUUUUAAAAUGUUUCAUUUUUGAAAUUUCUAGGGUUUUGGUUGGUUUGGCUCCCUUUUACUUAUUGUUUUCCUUUAGAUAACAAUUAAAAGUUUUUGCAAUGUAUAAUUUUUACUUGUCUAUUUCGUAUGGAGAUCUUUUCAUGAUAUUACCACCGCAUUUUCU